This 419-nucleotide ribosomal RNA is filed under the name uncultured bacterium. RNAcentral describes it as "bacterial SSU rRNA". It matches the Rfam family "Bacterial small subunit ribosomal RNA", at positions 355 to 774 of the family's 1533-position model. The record is from RNAcentral.
UGAGGAAUAUUGCACAAUGGGCGCAAGCCUGAUGCAGCGACGCCGCGUGUGGGAUGAAGGGGCUACGCCUCGUAAACCACUGUAGCCCGGGACGAAAAACGCCUUAGAGGCGUUAGACGGUACCGGGAAAGUAAGGGUCGGCUAACUACGUGCCAGCAGCCGCGGUAAUACGUAGGACCCAAGCGCUGUCCGGAUUUACUGGGUGUCAAGGGUGCGCAGGCGGAUGGGUAAGUCAGGGGUGAAAGUCUGCAGCUCAACUCCAGCACUGCCUUUGAUACUGAGGAUGUGGAGUUCGGGGGAGGUGAGUGGAACUGAGAGUGUAGAGGUGAAAUUCGUAGAUAUUCGCAAGAACACCAGUGGCGAAGGCGGCUCACUGGCCCGAUACUGACGCUGAGGCACGAAAGCGUGGGGAGCAAACA